GUGUCACAAAAAUGGUUCAACGCGCCCAACGCGCCUGUGGCUGCGCUAGAGUCCGAGGUAGGAAACCCAAACGCCGCCGUGUUUGGGUGCAUGAUAGAGUUUAGAUCGGGUUAGAUUAAAUAAUCUCGGAUAUAAAUAACGAUCUCAUCUCAUCGUCAUCCGUUCCGGGGUCGGGUCGCGGGGGGAGCAGCUCAAGCAGGGGGCUCCAGACUUCCCUUUCCCGGGCCACAUUGACCAGCUCUGACGGGGGGAUCCCGAGGCAUUCCCAGGCCAGUGUUGAGAUAUAAUCUAUCCACCUAGUCCUGGGUCUUCCCCCAGGUCUCCUCCCCACUGGACGUGCCUGAAACACCUCCCAAUGGAGGCGCCCAGUGGGCAUCCUUGCCAGAUGCCCGAACCACCUCAGCUGACUCCUUUCUAAGUAAAGGAGCAGCGGCUCUAAUCCGAGUUCCUCACGGAUGACUGAGCUUCUCACCCUAUCCCGAGACGCCAGCCACCCUUCUGAGAAAACUCAUCUCGGCCGCUUGUACCCGCGAUCUCGUCCUUUCGGACAUCACCCAACCCUCAUGACCAUAGAUCAGCCGACUAAAAAGAGACAGAGAAACCCAAUGUCGGAGGAACAGAAGAAGAGAAAAGGGAGACUGACCGACAGAGAGGCCAGACACGAGUAAACGUUGGGCAAGCUUUUCAGGAAUAGCGUGAACUGAAAGAAAAAGAAGACUGCAAAUCAGACGCCGACUCGGCCGUGUUGCUUUUGAAAUUGAAAGUACCCUUGGGUGAACUUUGUCUUCGUGGUAUUCUUGAUGUUGAUAGUCUCUGUACAAAUGUGUUUGCUCAACCAUUUUGUUGUGAGCCCUGUAAAAAUUGUUUUCUCAACCGUUUUGUUGUGAGCCCUGUAUGUUUCUAGCUUGCUUGGUUGCAACCAUAUAAACACCUUUGUUUCCA
Molecule: long non-coding RNA, 942 nt
Organism: Gadus macrocephalus (Pacific cod)
Lineage: Eukaryota; Metazoa; Chordata; Actinopteri; Gadiformes; Gadidae
Exons: 2
Source: RefSeq, a predicted model, not a curated record